CAGUCGCCGCGGGAAUACGAAGGGUGCAAGCGUUACUCGGAAUUACUGGGCGUAAAGCGUGCGUAGGUGGUUGUUUAAGUCUGUUGUGAAAGCCCUGGGCUCAACCUGGGAAUUGCAGUGGAUACUGGGCAACUAGAGUGUGGUAGAGGGUAGUGGAAUUCCCGGUGUAGCAGUGAAAUGCGUAGAGAUCGGAAGGAACAUCUGUGGCGAAGGCGACUAUCUGGGCCAACACUGACACUGAGGCACGAAAGCGUGGGGAGCAAACAGGAUUAGAUACCCGGGUAGUCCCUGUCUCUUAUAC
Molecule: ribosomal RNA, 301 nt
Filed under: uncultured bacterium
Lineage: Bacteria
Description: partial 16S ribosomal RNA
Rfam family: Bacterial small subunit ribosomal RNA
Source: RNAcentral